Molecule: long non-coding RNA, 1285 nt
Filed under: Vigna radiata
Lineage: Eukaryota; Viridiplantae; Streptophyta; Magnoliopsida; Fabales; Fabaceae
Description: long non-coding RNA (VRAD_LNC000239)
Source: RNAcentral
GUUGCAAAGAAAAUUUGAAAGUGAGUAUCCAUGGAACUUCAAUGUGGUUACAAAACUCCAAACCAGGGGAAAAAAAAAACUAAAAACCAAAACCAGUCACAUUCAUCUAAUGUGUUGUUUUGUUCCUAGAAAAUUACCUAGGAAAUUACAAAAUAAUUCCUGCAUACAAUAAAAACUAAAGUAAACAGCAUUUAACUCAUAUCUCUAUAAAGUAAAAUAAACUAAAACUGCAUUUAACUAAAAUAAACUAAAAUAGUCAUCUCCACACGCAGCUUUGGACUUGAGUAUACUCAUGUCCUUCACAUGCAGCUAUUAGACAUGUCUCAAUAUCAUCAAUCUCGGUAUAGAGUAAUUAGAGUUCAUCAUUUCACAACAAAUAUUUAUAUCCAUUCCAUCCAUUCAUAUUGACUAUAAAUGCAAAAUCAUCCAUUCAAACCAUACAUUUUUAAGGAUAGAUCUCUUUGUAACCAUUCGAUUAUUCUAAUGUAUCGUAUGAUCAUAACAUCACAAAAAUACAAGUACAAGGAUAGCUCCCCUACCUUUCAACAUACUCGACAUGUAAUCAGAAUAACCUAUCCAGUCAUACAAAUUCUGCACAAAAUAAAGAGAUAAAUUAGUUCCCCUUUGUUUUUCGUUAUACCAUUACAGUAAAUAUACACACAAUUCCUUUACUCUCUCUUGUUUGAUUGCCUUCGUGUGAGUGUGCAUUGUGAGAAAGUUAACAUGAUGCACCUUAUCUUCUUUAUACCCAAAGACUAAAAAAUCACAUCAAUGAAACUGGUUAAUAAUUUAAAGUUGUAAAUAGAACAUUAUUAGAAACAAAAUACUUUAAUAUCUUUAUAAUAAUUAUGUGUGUAUUCCAUCCACUGAGGCACGAAUGACUUUAAGAAAAUAAAAUUCUUCACUCUAAUCACAAGACUCGCAUGCUUUCUAGACAUUAAACAAACCCCAGUAGGAAGUCGAAAAACAAACCAGACAAUUUCAAAUGAACCCAUGUUGUUAAAAGAGUUCAAAACAUCAUAAGUAAAUCAUCGUAGGCACAAUGGCAUGAAUUUAAAUAUACCUGGAGAGGAGUUCCAAUCAAAAGCACACGGUGUUUGUUGGAAAAUUGCAUCAAUGAAGAAAAACUCAGUCACUAAGGUGGCAUUGCUGUUUCAAACUCUCCAUGUUAAUAAUAAAGUGAUGGAAGACAAAUAUAACAGAAGGGAAUAAACAAAAAUUAAGUAUCAAGUCCCAUUAUAAGAGCAGUUAUAUCACUUCUAUCUACAAAUGGGGCAGCACCUAC